UGCGAAUGCUGACAUAAGUAACGAUAAAGCGGGUGAAAAGCCCGCUCGCCGGAAGACCAAGGGUUCCUGUCCAACGUUAAUCGGGGCAGGGUGAGUCGACCCCUAAGGCGAGGCCGAAAGGCGUAGUCGAUGGGAAACAGGUUAAUAUUCCUGUACUUGGUGUUACUGCGAAGGGGGGACGGAGAAGGCUAUGUUGGCCGGGCGACGGUUGUCCCGGUUUAAGCGUGUAGGCUGGUUUUCCAGGCAAAUCCGGAAAAUCAAGGCUGAGGCGUGAUGACGAGGCACUACGGUGCUGAAGCAACAAAUGCCCUGCUUCCAGGAAAAGCCUCUAAGCAUCAGGUAACAUCAAAUCGUACCCCAAACCGACACAGGUGGUCAGGUAGAGAAUACCAAGGCGCUUGAGAGAACUCGGGUGAAGGAACUAGGCAAAAUGGUGCCGUAACUUCGGGAGAAGGCACGCUGAUAUGUAGGUGAAGCGACUUGCUCGUGGAGCUGAAAUCAGUCGAAGAUACCAGCUGGCUGCAACUGUUUAUUAAAAACACAGCACUGUGCAAACACGAAAGUGGACGUAUACGGUGUGACGCCUGCCCGGUGCCGGAAGGUUAAUUGAUGGGGUUAGCGCAAGCGAAGCUCUUGAUCGAAGCCCCGGUAAACGGCGGCCGUAACUAUAACGGUCCUAAGGUAGCGAAAUUCCUUGUCGGGUAAGUUCCGACCUGCACGAAUGGCGUAAUGAUGGCCAGGCUGUCUCCACCCGAGACUCAGUGAAAUUGAACUCGCUGUGAAGAUGCAGUGUACCCGCGGCAAGACGGAAAGACCCCGUGAACCUUUACUAUAGCUUGACACUGAACAUUGAGCCUUGAUGUGUAGGAUAGGUGGGAGGCUUUGAAGUGUGGACGCCAGUCUGCAUGGAGCCGACCUUGAAAUACCACCCUUUAAUGUUUGAUGUUCUAACGUUGACCCGUGAUCCGGGUUGCGGACAGUGUCUGGUGGGUAGUUUGACUGGGGCGGUCUCCUCCUAAAGAGUAACGGAGGAGCACGAAGGUUGGCUAAUCCUGGUCGGACAUCAGGAGGUUAGUGCAAUGGCAUAAGCCAGCUUGACUGCGAGCGUGACGGCGCGAGCAGGUGCGAAAGCAGGUCAUAGUGAUCCGGUGGUUCUGAAUGGAAGGGCCAUCGCUCAACGGAUAAAAGGUACUCCGGGGAUAACAGGCUGAUACCGCCCAAGAGUUCAUAUCGACGGCGGUGUUUGGCACCUCGAUGUCGGCUCAUCACAUCCUGGGGCUGAAGUAGGUCCCAAGGGUAUGGCUGUUCGCCAUUUAAAGUGGUACGCGAGCUGGGUUUAGAACGUCGUGAGACAGUUCGGUCCCUAUCUGCCGUGGGCGCUGGAGAACUGAGGGGGGCUGCUCCUAGUACGAGAGGACCGGAGUGGACGCAUCACUGGUGUUCGGGUUGUCAUGCCAAUGGCACUGCCCGGUAGCUAAAUGCGGAAGAGAUAAGUGCUGAAAGCAUCUAAGCACGAAACUUGCCCCGAGAUGAGUUCUCCCUGACUCCUUGAGAGUCCUGAAGGAACGUUGAAGACGACGACGUUGAUAGGCCGGGUGUGUAAGCGCAGCGAUGCGUUGAGCUAACCGGUACUAAUGAACCGUGAGGCUUAACC
Molecule: ribosomal RNA, 1654 nt
Filed under: Escherichia coli
Lineage: Bacteria; Pseudomonadati; Pseudomonadota; Gammaproteobacteria; Enterobacterales; Enterobacteriaceae
Description: bacterial LSU rRNA
Rfam family: Bacterial large subunit ribosomal RNA
Source: RNAcentral